RNAcentral lists this ribosomal RNA (253 nucleotides) under uncultured bacterium. RNAcentral's name for it is "partial 16S ribosomal RNA". It matches the Rfam family "Bacterial small subunit ribosomal RNA", at positions 524 to 776 of the family's 1533-position model. The record is from RNAcentral.
UACGGAGGGGGCUAGCGUUGUUCGGAAUUACUGGGCGUAAAGCGCGCGUAGGCGGACCUGCAAGUCGUGGGUGAAAGCCCGAGGCUCAACCUCGGAACUGCCUUCGAUACUGCGGGUCUCGAGUCCGGGAGAGGUGAGUGGAAUUCCUAGUGUAGAGGUGAAAUUCGUAGAUAUUAGGAAGAACACCAGUGGCGAAGGCGGCUCACUGGCUCGGUACUGACGCUGAGGCGCGAAAGCGUGGGGAGCAAACAGG